GAUGAACGCUGGCGGCGUGCCUAAUACAUGCAAGUCGAGCGAACAGACGAGGAGCUUGCUCCUCUGACGUUAGCGGCGGACGGGUGAGUAACACGUGGAUAACCUACCUAUAAGACUGGGAUAACUUCGGGAAACCGGAGCUAAUACCGGAUAAUAUAUUGAACCGCAUGGUUCAAUAGUGAAAGACGGUUUUGCUGUCACUUAUAGAUGGAUCCGCGCCGCAUAGCUAGUUGGUAAGGUAACGGCUUACCAAGGCAACGAUGCGUAGCCGACCUGAGAGGGUGAUCGGCCACACUGGAACUGAGACACGGUCCAGACUCCUACGGGAGGCAGCAGUAGGGAAUCUUCCGCAAAGGGCGAAAGCUUGACGGAGCAACGCCGCGUGAGUGAUGAAGGUCUUCGGAUCGUAAAACUCUGUUAUUAGGGAAGAACAAAUGUGUAAGUAACUAUGCACGUCUUGACGGUACCUAAUCAGAAAGCCACGGCUAACUACGUG
Molecule: ribosomal RNA, 496 nt
Filed under: uncultured bacterium
Lineage: Bacteria
Description: partial 16S ribosomal RNA
Rfam family: Bacterial small subunit ribosomal RNA
Source: RNAcentral